RNAcentral lists this transfer RNA (76 nucleotides) under Bacillota bacterium. RNAcentral's name for it is "tRNA-Pro". It matches the Rfam family "tRNA". Rfam says of the family: Transfer RNA (tRNA) molecules are approximately 80 nucleotides in length. The record is from RNAcentral. Lineage: Bacteria; Bacillati; Bacillota. RNAcentral also lists the same sequence under 2 other names.
CCGGGUGUAGCGCAGUUGGUAGCGCGCCUGCUUUGGGAGCAGGAUGCCGGGGGUUCAAGUCCCUCCACUCGGACCA